AACAAGGCGUACCUGCGGACCUGCGGAAGGAUCAUUACGAGAGUGUCACCACUCCCAACCCAUUGUUUACCUACCCGUCCACCGUGCUUCGGCAGGCAGCCCUGUGGGACAGAGCCUCGCCCCCUUUCGCGGGGGGUGCCUGCCGCUUGCCAACCAAAACUCUAGCUGUUUUAGUACCAUCUGAGUCUUCCACAAAUGAACAAAACUUUUAACAAUGGAUCUCAGAUCGGAAGAGCACAC
Molecule: unclassified non-coding RNA, 240 nt
Filed under: soil metagenome
Description: partial contains 5.8S ribosomal RNA, internal transcribed spacer 2, and large subunit ribosomal RNA
Source: RNAcentral